RNAcentral lists this ribosomal RNA (497 nucleotides) under uncultured bacterium. Its description in RNAcentral is "partial 16S ribosomal RNA". It matches the Rfam family "Bacterial small subunit ribosomal RNA", at positions 28 to 507 of the family's 1533-position model. The record is from RNAcentral.
GAUGAACGCUGGCGGCGUGCCUAAUACAUGCAAGUCGAGCGAACAGACGAGGAGCUUGCUCCUCUGACGUUAGCGGCGGACGGGUGAGUAACACGUGGAUAACCUACCUAUAAGACUGGGAUAACUUCGGGAAACCGGAGCUAAUACCGGAUAAUAUAUUGAACCGCAUGGUUCAAUAGUGAAAUACGGUUUUGCUGUCACUUAUAGAUGGAUCCGCGCCGCAUUAGCUAGUUGGUAAGGUAACGGCUUACCAAGGCGACGAUGCGUAGCCGACCUGAGAGGGGGAUAGGCCGCCUUGGAGCUGGAACACGGUCAAGGCGACUACGGGAGGCAGCAGUAGCGAACCUUCGGCAAUGGGCGAGAACCUGGCGGAGUGAGGCCGCGUGAGUGACGAAGAUCUUCCGUGCGUAAAACUCUGUUAUUAGGGAAGAACAAAUGUGUCAGUAACUAUGCACGUCGUGACGGUAACUAAUCAGAAAGCAACGGCUAACUACGUG